UAUUCUGAGAAGCCUGGAUGGUUGGG
Molecule: non-coding RNA, 26 nt
Filed under: Cricetulus griseus (Chinese hamster)
Lineage: Eukaryota; Metazoa; Chordata; Mammalia; Rodentia; Cricetidae
Source: RNAcentral